UGAGAUAAGUUUCAUUGUCAAAAGGGAAACAGCCCAGACCCACAGCUAAGGUCCCAAAGUACAUUUGAGUGGAAAAGGAUGUGGGGUUGCAUAGACAACCGGGAUGUUGGCUUAGAAGCAGCCAUACAUUAAAAGAGUGCGUAAUAGCUCACCGGUCGAGUGACCCUGCGCCGAAAAUUCAACGGGGCUAAAAUGUACACCGAAGCUUGGGAUUGCAGUUACUGAACAAAGCAGAUUGAUGAAAAGGUUGAAUCUGGCCGAAGGCAAAAUUCAACUAAAAAGCUAAAAGUCAGUAAGCUUUGUUCAGUAACUGCAGUGGUAGGAGAGCGUCGAAUACGGGGUGAAGUCAGAGCGGAAGCGCUGGUGGACUGUAUUCGAGUGAGAAUGCCGGAAUGAGUAGCGAGAAUUAUGUGAGAAUCAUAAUGGCCGAAAGUCUAAGGUUUUGGAAGGAAGGUUCGUCCGCUUCCAGUAAGCCGGGAGCUAAGGUGAGGCCGAAAGGCGUAGCCGAUGCACAUACGGUUGAAAUUCCGUAGCCUCCGAAGUAUUUAAACAGAAGGACACUUGAGAAGUGAUGUUGCCGGGCGAUGGUUGACCCGGUCGUAAGGGACCGAAAUUUAGUAGGGAAGUCAUCAUGGAUUGAGGCGAGAAAAGUUCUGUGAAUAUACAAGGAGCCCGUACCGCAAACCGACACAGGUAGAUAGGAAGAAAAUUCUAAGGCCAACGGGAGAAGGGUUGUUAAGGAACUCGGCAAGUUGACCCCGUAACUUCGGAAUAAGGGGUGCUCUCGAGAGAGAGCCGCAGAGAAUAGGCCCAGGCGACUGUUUAGCAAAAACACAGCUCUAUGCUAAAUCGAAAGAUGAUGUAUAUGGGGUGACACCUGCCCGGUGCCGGAAGGUUAAGAGGAGGCGUGAGAGCGCUGAAUUGAAGCCCCGGUAAACGGCGGCCGUAACUAUAACGGUCCUAAGGUAGCGAAAUUCCUUGUCAGGUAAGUUCUGACCCGCACGAAUGGCGUAAUGAUUUGGGCACUGUCUCAACAGCCCGCCCGGCGAAAUUGUAGUACCGGUGAAGAUGCCGGUUACCCGCGACUAGACGGAAAGACCCCAUGGAGCUUUACUGCAGCUUAAUGUUGAAUUUCGGUAUUUCAUGUACAGGAUAGGUGGGAGACUGGGAACUACAGGCGUCAGCUUGUGGGGAGUCACUGUUGGGAUACCACUCUUGAAGUGCUGGAAUUCUAACCUGCGGCCUUGAAUCAGGUCGGGGGACAUCGUUAGGCGGGCAGUUUGACUGGGGCGGUCGCCUCCAAAAGAGUAACGGAGGCGCU
Molecule: ribosomal RNA, 1321 nt
Filed under: human gut metagenome
Description: bacterial LSU rRNA
Rfam family: Bacterial large subunit ribosomal RNA
Source: RNAcentral